This 765-nucleotide ribosomal RNA is filed under the name uncultured Streptococcus sp. Its description in RNAcentral is "bacterial SSU rRNA". It matches the Rfam family "Bacterial small subunit ribosomal RNA", at positions 28 to 776 of the family's 1533-position model. Lineage: Bacteria; Bacillati; Bacillota; Bacilli; Lactobacillales; Streptococcaceae. The record is from RNAcentral.
GAUGAACGCUGGCGGCGUGCCUAAUACAUGCAAGUAGAACGCUGAAGCUUGGUGCUUGCACCGAACGGAUGAGUUGCGAACGGGUGAGUAACGCGUAGGUAACCUGCCUCUUAGCGGGGGAUAACUAUUGGAAACGAUAGCUAAUACCGCAUAAAAGUCGAUAUCGCAUGAUAUUGAUUUGAAAGGUGCAAUUGCAUCACUAAGAGAUGGACCUGCGUUGUAUUAGCUAGUUGGUGAGGUAACGGCUCACCAAGGCGACGAUACAUAGCCGACCUGAGAGGGUGAUCGGCCACACUGGGACUGAGACACGGCCCAGACUCCUACGGGAGGCAGCAGUAGGGAAUCUUCGGCAAUGGGGGCAACCCUGACCGAGCAACGCCGCGUGAGUGAAGAAGGUUUUCGGAUCGUAAAGCUCUGUUGUAAGAGAAGAACGAGUGUGAGAGUGGAAAGUUCACACUGUGACGGUAACUUACCAGAAAGGGACGGCUAACUACGUGCCAGCAGCCGCGGUAAUACGUAGGUCCCGAGCGUUAUCCGGAUUUAUUGGGCGUAAAGCGAGCGCAGGCGGUUAGAUAAGUCUGAAGUUAAAGGCUGUGGCUUAACCAUAGUACGCUUUGGAAACUGUUUAACUUGAGUGCAGAAGGGGAGAGUGGAAUUCCAUGUGUAGCGGUGAAAUGCGUAGAUAUAUGGAGGAACACCGGUGGCGAAAGCGGCUCUCUGGUCUGUAACUGACGCUGAGGCUCGAAAGCGUGGGGAGCAAACAGG